UUUUUUUUUUUUUUUUUAAGCCAAACCAAACCCCAUUCACUCAUAUUAGACCUAAAACAUUCACAAGAGCUCAUGCUAAGCCUUAACUUGCAAAAUAAAACUCAACACAUUUCUAAAUUUCUUUAUUAUCUUAUUCUUAAUUUCUUCCUUUAUUCUGUCUUAGGAAAAGACAACCCCCAGACAAUUACACUUAUUUUUUUCUCCAUAAUUACGGAAGAAAUCAUCAAACAAACCUAAUAGUGGCUUUUGCAGUUACCUUGCUGAUCCAGCCUUGCCUAAGCAGUGUGGGCAGGCUGUGGGGUCAGACAUGCAGCAUUAUGGCUUUUCCCUGCAUCCACAGGGAUGGGACAAGGGAUGCAGGUGCUGCAGGCAGCUGCAGCUCCAGUUGCACCUGUGGGAUUCACACAGCCCAGGGCUCUUGGGCUGCACAUCUUGUCAGUUUGUAAAAUACCAUUUUAAUUUCUGUCUCUCUCACCUGCUGGUGUUGGAAAGCUGCUGUAGGCACUUUGCAGAGAUUGGCACUGGAAGCACCUGACACUUGCUGUUGUAAACUUCAUCCAUCUCCUUGAAAUACUGUUGUGAUGGUGGUUGUCUCAAGGCUCUGUGCACAUGGAGUAAUUGCUGGUGUAAAGACUUUUUUAUCCUCUCGUUAUUGUUACUGAGCACUGCUUUCAUCCAGAAACAUGAAUUGGGGAAGGAUGCCACAGACUUUCACCACUGAAUCUGUCCCUAGAUGGUUUCUUUUCACCCAUGUGAAAUUUAUAAAUAGGGGUGGGGGAUGCAGACAAGCCUAUAAAGAAAGACCUCCAUAAAUCAAAUUCUGCAUUUUCUAAGUUGCUCAAGGAAUGAUUUACUGCAGAAAUGGUGAACAGAUGGAUUCCCACUGCCAUCCAUAGAUGAGUGUGGCAGACCAGUGUGGCUGCUGCUGUUUGUUCCCUUCCUUUCCCUCCUUUGGCUGCUGUUAUGUUGCUGCAUUGGGCAAUCAUGUUAUGUGAAAUGCAGUGUUGCACAUCAUCAUCACAGCAGUGUUGGUAUUUCCUAAAGGUCUUUGUCAUGAUGUUUGUCAGUGCCUGUUUUAAAAUGGCCCAGGCUCCUAGCUUGACCUUUAUAGUUUCUUUUUUUUUUUUUUUUUUUACAAGACACAGUUAUGUUUCAUGCAAGCCACAUAAUUCUUUGGGCUACUUGUAGUAGAUUUAGAAAGCAGAUGCUCCUUGAAUGCCCAACACAUGCAAUCCAUGGGCAAGAGCUAGUGAAGGGUGUUUAAAAGAGGCAGUGGUUCUUGUCACUGUGGGGUUUUCUUGUUCAUUAUCAACUUAGUCAGAAGAUAGGUCAGCAUUUUUCAAGGUGGAAAAAGGCUGAAGGAGGAUGGGCUGUGGCAGGAUGAGAUCUUGGCAGUAUUUACUUGGUGCAGAGUCACAGGGCCAAAAGGGACUUGGAGACAUCAGCUAGACAUUUUCCAAGGCAGGUUAAGCUUGGAAUGGGUGGAUGUGUGAGUGUUGAACUUGUCCUUAAAAGCCUCUAAUAGUGGAGAAUCAACCAUUUCCCAUGCUGUUUUUUCCAUGCUGUGUUUGACUGUCUUUUUGAGGAUGGUUUAUUCCCCCAGUGCCUAAGUACAAAAUUUUAGGGUAUAGGAGAAAAAGACAGUGACCUCAAAUGACAUUAGACAGAGGAGCAUUUCAGCUGUUUUUAUAAAUGCAACCUAAGAAAUAAUGGUCAGAUAAAAUCUGAGACAAGAUUUUCAAGGAGCCCCAGCCCAAAUUUGCUCACCACAGGACUCCUCCAUGCCUUUAAAAACCUCUUUCUUUGAAUGGUGUGUCAGGUUGAUGGUUAAUAGCCAUAUCAGAAAGGUUCAAAGAGACCUUUCUCCUCAUGCUGUGUUUUCUAUCCAGUAGAUGCCUUCUUUUUUUUUUUUUUUUUACAGAGUUCAGACAGUGAAAAAACAGCCAAACCAAAAAAUCCCUAGCCCCAAACUGACCCAGCUUGCUAGCCUUUUUCCUUGGUACCCUUUUAAGGCCAUCAAUAAAGCCAUAUUACGAGGAGGAAACCAAAGGAGAACAUAAUCCAUUUAUUUAGGCUUGUGCCAGCACAGCAAGAGGCUGGAGAGGCAGCAGGGGCCAGAGCCUGCCCUUGGCCUACAGCUGUCCUCUCCUGCUUCCUUUUGCCUUGGAAACAGCCUGACUAUCCUCUGCUGGGAUGCUGCUGGCACAGCAUCACCUGUGCUGGCAGCAAGGUCCCUGCCUGGGGUGGGAUGCAGCCUCUCCCUGGAAGAUGUGGGGAAAGCUGCAGUGGGAAAAGUGCAGUGGGAAAAGUGCAGUGCUGUGGGCAGUGCAGGCACCAGGACAUGCCCAGGUCUCUGCUUUGGGACAGGGACCCAUGGCUGUGCCUGCAAUUCUCUCUCCAGCUCCAAACCAGGACUAGUGGAAUAAUUUUGAAGCAGGACACUAAUGGAGUGUGUUACAAGAGCUGUGCACUCCCCUGUUUGUUACCUGUGCACCAGUUCAGUGAGGAGUCUCUGGGUGUCACACCAUGCUGAGAAUCCAUUGCUGGGGAAGCAAAGGGGACAGCACAUCCCUCAAGCUGGGCAGUGCUUCCUUUUCUGCCUGUUGUGGUUGAUCAGGAGGCUCUCAGGCUGGACUCAGGGCUUUGUCACGCUCAGCAGAAGCAGCAGGCUUGCAGGAAUGGGUCAGUAAAUCUCUUAGACCCUACAGGCACCAGGCAGAGAUCACCCCAGCCAUGCUGGCAUGUGCUGGGACCCUGCCCCAGACCCUGCAGCCCUGCUCUGCUGUGUGCCCACACCAAGCUGUGUGUGGGGAGGUGAUGGCAAAGCCCCCCAGCCCCCGUGGCAGCCGGCAGGUGCCUCCUGCAGGGCACAGCAGCCCUUUGUAGCCCCACACUGCCAUGGUCAGGGCCCCAGCCAUGCCCAGGGCUGCCAAGGCUGUGAGCACCAGCCCUGCAGAGCCCUGGCUGCAUGGCCAGGCAGGACACAAAGAGAGGCUUCCUAUAGAUCCUGCUCCAGGUGACAUCUGGCCUCAUUUAUGGACUUGGAUGGAUGGGGCACCCAGGUCUGUUCAGUCCCAGUAGGAGCCUUUGAUGAAAUCCCUGUACUGACCAAAGACUGACUCUGAAGGGCAGGAUCUCCACAGACAACCUCCUGCACAAGUUGGCGUCCUCCAAGCGUUGAGAGAGAAAAUAUUUAAUGGCUUAAAAAGGAAAAAGAGGCAAUGGAGCAGUUUAGAAAAUGCAAUUUCCUCAACAACUUUGUGAUUUGAAGAACUGGCGCUAUAAAAGGGGAAACCAAAUUUGUGGGAAGGAUGAAAUUAUUUUCCCCAAGCCCAAUAAUCACCCUGGCUUAAGCUAGGAGUUUUUGCUCCACAAACUGCCCCUGUUUUUGCUCCUGUUGUCACAAACUGUGAAACUAUGGUGCAUGCCUAUCAGGCUACACUGCAGUUGCAAAUUAACCAGUGUGUUCAGUAGUCCUCCUUUCACCAUCAAUGUAGUCUUCAGUGAUGCCUGGGGAAGGAAGAGGGUUUUCCUUCAUGUUUCACAGUGUUUCUCCUACUCUCAUAGACUCUUAAUCCUUCAUGGUUUUCUCAGUGCUGCUCAGCCCUGGGAACUCUACCUGGAAUAAGCAAAACAAGUUACAGUGGAGACAAAAGUGACAAAAAAUCAUUGAACUUUACAGCAGAUAACCCAGGGUAUGACUUCCAAAUUAUACCCGGUUACUCAGCAGUCAAAAACACAAGAGCAGCCAGUACAGAUGAAUAUUCACCUGAUUUUACAGUGUAAUUGCUUCUCACUUAAAAUUUGACCUUUUUUUUUCCUUUCCUCCCAGCAUAACCACGUGCUUCCUGCAUUUCCCUACUCUUCAGUAUCAGCAUGUGCUUUGAGUCCUGUAGAGUUGGAGAGGAAUUACUAACAGAACUGAAAAAUAACUCUGAUCCUCUUACCUUUGCAUGCACAAAAUUCUUAGCAAAAUACAAGAAAAAAAAAAAAGGCAUUUCUCUUGUGUUGUGCUUGCACAGUGUCAAUGGCAAAGCAAAGUCUAAGGGCAUAAAUAAGGUGAAAUGUUGCUCUGUGGUGAUGCAGAGACUGAAGGGACUGGGUUUUAAGCAGUGUCCCUCCACAUUGGCUUUUCUGAUAAAGGCAGAAGAAUUUGUAUCAUGCACCAAAAAGCUCAGCUUCCAGCUUUGUGUGCCCCUCUUCUUGUGGUACUUUCCACCUGUUCCCUGUGGGUACCUGGAUGAGACAAAGGAUACCUGUGCUCAGGUAGCUUCUGAUUCAGAUUGCUUCUGGGUUCACUUGAAAUCCCAGUCAGGAACUUUCCGUCUUUACUGUUUUGUAAUCAAAGAUGCAGAGGCUGCAAUUCAGCCAGGAUGUGUUUGCUGGGCUGAGAGCUCUUGGGUACAGCCCAUCCUUCCUUCCCUCCCACUGCAAACACAUCAGGGCAUCCUUCUUUUAAAUACCUACUUUUAAGCUCCCCUAUCAAAAUGUCAGAAUUAUUAGGGAAAAGUGUUUAUUGCCACACUUUCCUUGAUACAUGUGCUGUAUCAUAGAUGGCUUCUGCUGAGUGUGUGCUGGGUGCUUUUGGCAGAUGUUCAGUUUGCACUGGAGGCUGUUUGUGCCUGGCUGGGGGUGCAGGGGAGCAGAGUGGUCACUUGUGCAGGUGGGAUGAUGCUAGGUGACACAGGUUUGGCAGGAAAGGCAGCAGGCUGUGGGGGAUACCCUCAACACUGCUGGGGUACCUGGGGCAGAGCAGCUGAUUCCCACUGAUUUGGGAAGAGGAUUCUAGAAACCCUGAGGCAGGGAGCAUGUUGGGUGACACCUGUGUGGGCUGAGAGCAGAGUGAUACCACCUACAAGAGGGGCUCAUGCCUCCAUCCCUGUUUUUAGGGGAUACAUUGGAGCCUGCCUGCACAUGCCUGCUCCCACUUUGCCUUUGGGAGGGCACCCCAAGACACCAACAGGGAGCAGACUGGAAAAGGGUGAUGCAAAAGGCACCCUGGGCUUUGCUGGGCCUUGGUGGUGCUCCCUGCAAAUGUCUCUCCCUUUCUCAUCCCCUGCUGCAGUUUGGGCUUGGCUCCUGGGCAGGCAGCACUCUGCUCCCUGCCUGCUGUGGGGAGCACGAGGCUCACAUGGACCAAAAUGUGUCAAAAGCAUUUCCUCAAAUAGUCAGUUUUAAUUUUAAUAAGUCGUGUUUAGUAGCCUUAAGGACACUGGCUGUGUGAGAGGAAAGGAUUAUUAUGUCUGAAAACAAAGGGCUGCUGAGAGCUGGUGUGGGGUGAGAGGCAUCACAUCUUCCUUAAGAGAGAGGAGCCCUUGCCAUGUGGUUGGAAAGCGUGGUGGGAUUGACAGGGGAAGCACUUGGACUGAGAAAUCUUCUUUUAGAUUAAGCAACAAAAUUCUGCAUGCACAUACAGACUAGAUCUUCAUACCGCGGCAGGCUUUGACAGUGUACUGCAGCAUUAUUGCUAUUUAUAAUCCACAAUUACUAACACUAUAAUCCAGUAAAUUUAGUGGUAGCAAUUACAGCAACAUAAAUAGCAAUCCAGAUGACUAAAGGCAUUGCUGUCAAUGCAGGUGGCAGCUACAGCAUUAGAAAAAGAAGUUGGAGGGAUGAUACCAGGACUCGAUAUGUGAGCUUGGGUCUGCUAGUCUUUUAUAUACCAUUUUUAAUAUACUUCCUGAAAUGAAGCUUCAGAAAGGUACACUGCCUCUUUAAAAUUAGUCUAGGAACUACAGGUAGUUCACAUUAUUUUUAAAAUAAUAAAUCUCUAUAUAUAUCUAUAUUAAAAUAUAUAUGUAUACAUAAGUUGGCUAGCCUACCUUGUGGAAAGGCUGCAGCUAAACUAAGUCUGAGCUAAUAUUGUAUUACCAUGGUCCUCUGGUUUGUAGAUAGCCCUUCCUUAUUAGAUGAGGUUCUGUUCUUGCUCCACAGAAGGUGCCUGUGUAUAUAACUCCUUUGUAUUGCUUUCUGCAGAGUCCCUUAUAUAUUUCUUACUACUAAUGCUGUGUAGAAAAGGAAACCCAGAGAUUUUACUACUGAUAAUUAACCAUAUAAUGGCCAUUAGCAAAAUAAAGAUUUAGUUGUUUGGGAAACAGAUUAUUUAUAUUGUGUAUGGUUUAUUGCCUGAUAACUUGUUUGGUGACUGGAUAUUCUUUUCCUUCUCCUAGUCCUUUUCUGCUUUUUCCAGCUAUGGUGUUUACUCCUCACUUUGAUUAUCUAGCAGGCAAUAAAGUAUAUUGUAUGUUUUGAA
RNAcentral lists this long non-coding RNA (6253 nucleotides) under Taeniopygia guttata (zebra finch). Its description in RNAcentral is "lncRNA (ENSTGUG00000024693.1)". Lineage: Eukaryota; Metazoa; Chordata; Aves; Passeriformes; Estrildidae. The record is from RNAcentral.